UACGUAGGGCGCAAGCGUUGUCCGGAAUCAUUGGGCGUAAAGCGCGCGUAGGCGGCCCUGUAAGUCCGUUGUGAAAGUCAAAGGCUCAACCUUUGAAAGCCGAUGGAUACUGCAGGGCUAGAGUCCGGAAGAGGCGAGUGGAAUUCCUGGUGUAGCGGUGGAAUGCGCAGAUAUCAGGAGGAACACCGAUGGCGAAGGCAGCUCGCUGGGACGGUACUGACGCUGAGGCGCGAAAGCGUGGGGAGCAAACAGG
This 253-nucleotide ribosomal RNA is filed under the name uncultured bacterium. Its description in RNAcentral is "partial 16S ribosomal RNA". It matches the Rfam family "Bacterial small subunit ribosomal RNA", at positions 524 to 776 of the family's 1533-position model. The record is from RNAcentral.